GAUGAACGCUGGCGGCGUGCUUAACACAUGCAAGUCGAACGAAGCAUUUAUAACAGAUUACUUUGGUUUGAAGUUCUUUAUGACUGAGUGGCGGACGGGUGAGUAACGCGUGUGUAACCUGCCUUGUAGUGGGGGAUCGCAGCUGGAUACGGCUGGUAAUACCGCAUAAGCGCACAAUGUUCCUUGACAUGGUGUGAAAAACUCCGGCGGAAUAAGAUGGAGCCGCGUCUGAUUAGCUAGUUGGUGAGAUAACAGCCCACCAAGGCGACGAUCAGUAGCCGAGCAGAGAGGGUGAGCGGCCACCUUGGAAGUGAGGCACGGCCGAGAAACCUACGAGAAGGAGCGGUGGGCAAUAUUACACAAUGGAGGAGACUCAAGUGGAGCGACGGGGCGUAAGGGAAGAUGUUAUGCGUUAAGUAAAACUCGAUCAGCAGGGAAGUGAGUGACGGUACCUGACUAAGAAGCUCCGGCUAAAUACGGU
Molecule: ribosomal RNA, 481 nt
Filed under: uncultured bacterium
Lineage: Bacteria
Description: partial 16S ribosomal RNA
Rfam family: Bacterial small subunit ribosomal RNA
Source: RNAcentral